Small nucleolar RNA from Crocodylus porosus (Australian saltwater crocodile), 145 nucleotides. Ensembl annotates it as small nucleolar RNA, C/D box 94. Its record names the gene SNORD94. The record is from Ensembl. Lineage: Eukaryota; Metazoa; Chordata; Crocodylia; Crocodylidae.
AUGGCUGUGAUGAUUGGCGCAGGGGUACGGACCUCAGCUAGAUCAUGGGAGCUGAAUGUGAACUCUGGUCUUUCCAGUGUGGCUGACAUGUGGUUGGCUGCCUGGAAACAAGUUCACAUGAGAAUUCUGCCUGACGCUGAGCCAU